RNAcentral lists this ribosomal RNA (93 nucleotides) under Staphylococcus auricularis. Its description in RNAcentral is "partial 16S ribosomal RNA". It matches the Rfam family "Bacterial small subunit ribosomal RNA", at positions 1448 to 1533 of the family's 1533-position model. Lineage: Bacteria; Bacillati; Bacillota; Bacilli; Caryophanales; Staphylococcaceae. The record is from RNAcentral.
GCUAGCCGCCGAAGGUGGGACAAAUGAUUGGGGUGAAGUCGUAACAAGGUAGCCGUAUCGGAAGGUGCGGCUGGAUCACCUCCUUUCUAAGGA